GUCAUUCGACGUGCCGUUCCGUGCUGUAGUGGAAUUCUCAGGGCCACCACCAGUUCGCGUGCACCGGCGCCCGAGAACGGUCACAUUUAUCGUGUUACUCGUCAGAGAAUUUUAUCGCUAUUUUCGUUCGAGCCGUUCUAUUGAUAAGUCAAACUACCCUUUCGUUUACUAGCCGGAGCACGAUUUUGGACGGUCUUAUUUAAAUUGGUGGACCGCGCUACUGGUAUCGGGAUACGGUCCGGGCUGAUGAGUGAAUUUACGAAAAGUGAGUGGAAAAAAGUUAGUGAGGGGAGCGCGAUGGAGACCUGCCAUAAACUGUACACAUGGGUCAAUCAUACAGUUCUCAUGUUACUUUUCCAGAUAUUCUGGAAGGUCAGUCAAAUAUCGGACUAUUUGAAGGGGAGAUCUGUAGAGAAGCCGAAGAACGAGCUUCAGUUGACAUUCUCGCCGCUAACAAAGGAAAUGAAGUUCAAGAGGCACAUCAGAUCGAUGUCCGACGUCCAGAAUAGCACCCCACACAGACUGUCCUACCGCUCGCGGAGGGGCAGCAACCACAUCCUGCUAACGUACGACUCGGACACACGCACCAGAAGGACCGCCUCAAGGUUCCUAUUGACGGAUUCGUCUGACUCGAGCGACUACUGCGAAUCACCAAAAAAAACGAUUUGCUUAGGUCAGAACAUUAUAAAGCAUUCGGAUUCCAUGAGAAUACUGUAAGGCGAUAGAUCUGAUUGAGGAGGCUGUGCAAUCUAGUUCGCUAGCUAGAUCGAUAUCACGUCAGGUAUAUUUUUUAGUAUUUGGACUAAAUAUGUUGUCGUUUACAUAAAAACGCACAAAAUAUUGCAUUUUUUAUAUUGAUGAUUCGCAGCGAGAUGGCUUCUCGUUUUACGUGCUAUCAAGGGCGGAUCCAGCUUUGGUGCCAGGAGGGGGUCACAUAGUCAUGGUCAAGUCAAGAACUUAUAAGUUAAUCUUGAUAACAAUAGAUACAAGUAAAAAGUAGGUAUUUUAUUAUAAGCACAUUAAAGGUAUAAGCACAUUAAAGGUAUAAAGAAAUUUUAGUUUUUUAACUUAGAACUAUGUUAUGAUAUGUUGAAGUUUAGUCGUUCCGAUUCCGAUUGAGGUUAGGAUUCAAUUUGAGGUUAGGCCUAAGACGUUACGUAGUCGACAAGCGCGCGCGAGUGUGGCGCGGUAAAAUUCAAAUUUUCGAUGCGUUCGUUCCCAAACAUUUGCCAUCAUACAAAGUUAUUAUUUUAUAUUAAAUUAAUUAAGGAGCAAUAUAAGGAGCAACAAUAUACCUAGUCUUGCCAUAAAUACUGUUACAAAGGAAAACAAAAAAAAUUCUAUGGCAAAUAACAUUUAUUACUUUUACAGUGCGUUAGUUUAAUACAUAAAUAUAAAACAAUUUAAAGUAUAAAAAGCUUAAUCGAAGUGGUCUCCAUUGGCUGCAAUACAGUCCUUUAAACGUUAAGACCAGUUAUCAAUAGAAGCACGCACUCUCUCCAUGGGAAAAUUUUUCACUGCCAAUCCUACGGAUUGUUUUAUUUUAUUUUUUUAUUGCCGUAUAGGCAGACGAGCAUACGGCCCACCUGAUGGAGAGUGGUUACCGUCGCUCAUGGACGUCAGCAAUGCCAGGGGCAGAGCCAAGCCGCUGCCUACCGUUUAAUACUCUCCACAAGCCUCGUUUGAAGAAGGACAUGUCAUAGCGCUCGGGAAACACCGUGGAGGGGAGCUCAUUCCAUAGCCGGAUGUUUUAGGGACUCCAAAUUAUCAUGGCGCUUAGAACAAGCCGUACUCUCUAAAACUGACCAUAAAUCAUAAUCCAGCGAAUUAAGAUCGGGACUAGACGACGGUCAGUCUUCAGCUCUGAUGAAGUCCGAAACGUUCGUUUCCAACCAAGACUGCGUAAACCGAGCUUUAUGACCUGGCGCCGAGUCUUGCUAGAAGGACUAUUCUUGAUUAUUGAACAUGGUGUUGUUAAGGGGCUUCACUACCUUCUCAAGAAUGGUAUCUUGAUACACUUGUGCCGAUGUUUUGAUACCUUUUUCACAAAAGUAUGGCUCAGUCACUCCUUCAUAGCUAAUACCCCACCAAACCAUCACUGAAGUCGGAUAGUGCCCACGUUGCACUCUGUCGACUAAUUGGGAAGCUUCCUUAAAGCUUUGAGCAUAAAUACGGUCAUUUUGUUUGUUAAAAUGUUGCUCAAUUGUAAAAAAGUUCUCAUCCGUAAACAAAUUUUUUUCUAUGACCUCCCUUUGCGUACCGUUUCAGUAGUUGUUUCGAUUUUACCCCCCAUUCUCUUUUAAAUUAUUAGUUAAGAAAUGACCACUAGGUCUCUUAUAGGCUGCAAGUCUUAAGUCAUCUUUUAAAAUACGCGACAUGGUUCUAGGUGCUAUCUUCAUCUCCCGAGAUAAAAUCGUUUGCUUUCGGACAGGAUUUCUUCGAAUUCUUUCCCUUACUGCUUUGACCACCUUUUUCGUACGAACACUACGUGGACGGCUAGAUAUUUUUCUGUCACAAACAGAGGAGGUCUCAUUGCACCUAUUAAUAGCCCGGUACACAAACAUUUUACUAAUACCAAGCGUAUGGAGAGUUUUAAAAAUUGCAUUUGGCUCCAUACCUACUUUGUGUAAUGCAAUCACAGCGAUUCGGUUUUCUUUAUCACCACACUCCAUUUUAAUAUCGCAAAAUAUUGUACAAUGUAUUGGCGCCAAAAUGAGAAAACUCAAUGAGCAAUCAUAUAAAAAUGACAGAUUCCAAAUUGAAAUGUAAUAUUUUGUUUAUUUUUAAUUGUAACAGUAUUUAUGGCCAGACUAAGUAUUGUGUCCUUAAAUCAUUAUGUUCAAUAUGUGGUCCACCUAGGUCCUGGAACCAGCUCAGGGGGGGUCAUGACCCCCAUGACCCCCCCCCUGGAUCCGCCCUUGCGUGCUAUUGUCCGGGUCGUACGUCGGAAUGUAUAAUAAUAUCCUUUCAUCAAUAUUUAAGGACGAAUAGAAAUAAUUUCUAUGAAAAAUUGAUUCGCUCGUGAACGGGAACGGCUUUGAAAUUGAAGUCCACGUAAAAUGUUAAUCAAAACCAUAUCAUUUUAAAUUUAGACAAAAAUAGAAUAUAUUUGCAGUUAAAAUAUAACAAAAAAAUAAGUAAUAUCAUCAUCACUUAACAUUAAUGGGAUCUACAAAUUUUGUGCCUAAUUUAUCAAACGAUUUUGGGAUCGAUUGUAAGAAGAACAAAAAUAUAUGAAUAAAAAACAAAAUACUUUGAACCCAACGUGAUUCAGCUAAUAAAUAUAAUAUUAAUAUUUCCUAAAAGAGACUGUGAUUGAAGUAGAGUAACUAAUGUAGUUUAUUUUAGGAUUUUAAGGUUAAAUGUAUUUUUAACAAUUUAUAAUUUUCGAUGUUAACCUGCAGUUUAAAUAGGUUAUUGCGUACACACCUUUUAUAGUUAACAAUUGUAUGUAUAUGGAAUUUAUCUCAAUUUUAAGAUUUUAAUAAUCGAAAAGCAUAUUAUGAUUGUCCUAUUAAGUUAAAAAAACAAAUUGUUUUAUUGGUAAAUAAAAUUUUAUGUUAAAUAAAAUAAAAUUCAAUGGACAACAGUUUUUUUUCAAACAUUUGAACUGAAUAUGUAUAAUAUAUAUAUAUACCAUAAUUAUACCAUAAAACAACGUAAUUCUGCACAAAAAAUGUUUAACUUUAAUUCUCACGUUUUAUUCAAUAUAUCUGUAUUUUUAUUAAUAAAAUACGAUCCAUUGGUCUCAUGAAAAACUUAUCGACAUUUCAAGGUGAGUUCAAAGAAAAGUAGUCGAUAAAGGGACUGUAUCGUUAAGAUUCACCUAACAUUUGACUAAUUGUAAGUUAGUAGCUAUGUAAAUAUAAGAUUUAAGUUCUAGAGCUUAGAAUUCGGAAUGUGAUAGGAUGAGCAAUGGAAGAUAUUUUGUUAUUUAUUUAAAAGUCAAUAAAAUAAUGAGUUGUUUAAGAUGAAA
This is a long non-coding RNA of Bombyx mori (domestic silkworm), 3976 nucleotides long. RefSeq lists it as uncharacterized. The transcript is spliced from 2 exons. The record is from RefSeq and is a predicted model, not a curated record. NCBI's taxonomy places the organism in Eukaryota, Metazoa, Arthropoda, Insecta, Lepidoptera, Bombycidae.